CCAGCACCCCGAGUGGUCGGGACGAUUAUUGGGCCUAAAGCAUCCGUAGCCGGUCAUGCAAGUCUUCCGUUAAAUCCAGCCGCUCAACGGUUGGGCUGCGGAGGAUACUACGUGGCUAGGAGGCGGGGAGAGGCAAGCGGUACUCAGUGGGUAGGGGUAAAAUCCUUUGAUCCAUUGAAGACCACCGUGGCGAAGGCGGCUUGCCAGAACGCGCUCGACGGUGAGGGAUGAAGCUGGGGAGCAACCGG
RNAcentral lists this ribosomal RNA (248 nucleotides) under uncultured bacterium. Its description in RNAcentral is "partial 16S ribosomal RNA". It matches the Rfam family "Archaeal small subunit ribosomal RNA", at positions 476 to 727 of the family's 1478-position model. The record is from RNAcentral.